This 1045-nucleotide ribosomal RNA is filed under the name Bacteroides fragilis str. 2-F-2 #7. RNAcentral describes it as "bacterial LSU rRNA". It matches the Rfam family "Bacterial large subunit ribosomal RNA", at positions 1459 to 2508 of the family's 2925-position model. Lineage: Bacteria; Pseudomonadati; Bacteroidota; Bacteroidia; Bacteroidales; Bacteroidaceae. The record is from RNAcentral.
GAGUGAUGUGGAGACGGAGGAGUGACAACGCCGCGGACUGACGGAAUAGUCCGUUAAAGGGUGUAGAUGUUGAUUAUCCCAGGCAAAUCCGGGAUAAGAGUCGAACCUGACAGUAUACCAAUUUCCUCGGAAAACGGUAAUAGUGCGUGUAAACAUACUCCCAAGAAAAUCCGCUAAACUUAAUCUUAUAGGUACCCGUACCGUAAACGGACACACGUAGUCGGGUUGAAUAUACUCAGGCGCUUGAGUGAAUCACGGUUAAGGAACUAGGCAAAUUGACCCUGUAACUUCGGGAUAAAGGGUCCCUACCCGGUGACGGGAGGGCGCAGAGAAUAGGUCCAGGCAACUGUUUAACAAAAACACAGGGCUGUGCAAAAUUGAAAGAUCACGUAUACAGCCUGACACCUGCCCGGUGCUGGAAGGUUAAGAGGAGAUGUCAUCGCAAGAGAAGCAUUGAAUUGAAGCCCCAGUAAACGGCGGCCGUAACUAUAACGGUCCUAAGGUAGCGAAAUUCCUUGUCGGGUAAGUUCCGACCUGCACGAAUGGUGUAAUGAUCUGGACACUGUCUCAACCGUGAGCUCAGUGAAAUUGUAGUAUCGGUGAAGAUGCCGAUUACCCGCGAUGGGACGAAAAGACCCCGUGAACCUUUACUAUAGCUUAACAUUGAAUUUGGGUAAUUGAUGUGUAGGAUAGGCCGGAGACUUUGAAGCAGGCACGCCAGUGUUUGUGGAGUCGCUGUUGAAAUACGGCCCUUUGGUUAUUUGAGUUCUAACUCGCUGGUGCGAGGACACUGUUUGGUGGGUAGUUUGACUGGGGUGGUCGCCUCCAAAAGCGUAACGGAGGCUUCUAAAGGUGCCCUCACGCCGAUUGGUAACCGGCGGUAGAGUGUAAUGGCAUAAGGGCGCUUGACUGGGAGACUUACAAGUCGAUCAGGUAGGAAACUAGAGCAUAGUGAUCCGGUGUUUCCGUAUGGAAGGGACAUCGCUCAAAGGAUAAAAGGUACUCCGGGGAUAACAGGCUGAUCCCUCCCAAGAGCUCAUAUCGA